Molecule: long non-coding RNA, 728 nt
Organism: Zea mays
Lineage: Eukaryota; Viridiplantae; Streptophyta; Magnoliopsida; Poales; Poaceae
Product: MIR160dHG
Exons: 1
Source: RefSeq, marked validated
CAUAGUCAUAGCGGCUCUCUGCUACGUCCUCGCUCGCUCCUCAUGCACACCAGCGCCCAGAGUCAUCGUUCUUAGCUUUCAUCUCAUCCCAUGCAAUUGUCAUGAAGCAUAUCAACGCAAUCAUCUAUCCUCUCUUCCUUCUCUUUUGUCGAUCGACCGUGCUGUGCUUAUUAAUGUCCUUUUGUUGCUAUAUAUGCUGCAGUGCUGCAUACAUAUACAGCUAGCCAGCUACUAGCUAGCUUCUUGCAUUGUUCCAGGUCGCCCUGCCGCAGCUGCAAGUUCAGGAAUGAAAAACCAUUGCAUGGCAUGGCAUUGCGCGAUAUGUGGUCCGUCUCCGUGUUUGGAAGCAUCAUAUCAGCACCAGCAGCGCUAGCACACGCCGGCCGUACCGUACGUCGUCGGAAACUAAUAAAGGGCCAGGGGCGGGAUCGAUAUGCCUGGCUCCCUGUAUGCCACUCGCAUGGCUGCCAACUCAUCAUGCAUACACUGCUAGCUAGUCGUUGGCUCCACUGCGGAUGGCGUGCGUGGAGCCAAGCAUGACCGAUCAUCUCCUCCUCCCGUUUUGUUUAGUACUAACAGUACGUAAUCGUCGUUCAUCUGAUGACCAACAAGUUCAGAGUUCAAGACAUCUCUACAUAUGAGUUCAACGAGUACGUCAUGUGUUUCUUUUCACCAAAUGGUCCUUGUUAAUUAGUUCUUUCUUUCUUUCUUUCUUUCUUUCUUUCUUU